RNAcentral lists this ribosomal RNA (606 nucleotides) under Cystobasidium psychroaquaticum. RNAcentral's name for it is "partial large subunit ribosomal RNA". It matches the Rfam family "Eukaryotic large subunit ribosomal RNA", at positions 46 to 640 of the family's 3401-position model. Lineage: Eukaryota; Fungi; Basidiomycota; Cystobasidiomycetes; Cystobasidiales; Cystobasidiaceae. The record is from RNAcentral.
AAAAGCGGAGGAAAAGAAACUAACAAGGAUUCCCCUAGUAACGGCGAGUGAAGUGGGAAAAGCUCAACUUUGAAAUCUGGUACCUUUGGUAUCCGAGUUGUAGUCUCAAGAAACGUUUUCUGUGCUGGCCCAUGUAUGAGUCUGUUGGAACACAGCGUCAUAGAGGGUGACAACCCCGUUCAUGACAUGGACCCCAGUACUUUGUGAUACGUUCUCGAAGAGUCGAGUUGUUUGGGAAUGCAGCUCAAAUUGGGUGGUAAAUUCCAUCUAAAGCUAAAUAUUGGUGAGAGACCGAUAGCAAACAAGUACCGUGAGGGAAAGAUGAAAAGCACUUUGGAAAGAGAGUUAACAGUACGUGAAAUUGUUGAAAGGGAAACGAUUGAAGUCAGACGUGCGUGAUGCAGUUCAGCCUAGGUUCGCCUGGGUGUACUCUGUAUCUUUGCAGGCCAACAUCGGUUUUGCGAGACGGAUAAAGGUUAGAGAAAUGUGGCAGGUCCGCCUGUGUUAUAGUCUCUGACUGAAUACGUUUUGUGGGACCGAGGAACGCAGCGCGCCGCAAGGCAAAGGUUCCGACCUUUUCGCGCUUAGGAUGUGUAAGCAGGAGUU